Molecule: ribosomal RNA, 468 nt
Filed under: uncultured bacterium
Lineage: Bacteria
Description: partial 16S ribosomal RNA
Rfam family: Bacterial small subunit ribosomal RNA
Source: RNAcentral
GACGAACGCUGGCGGCGUGCUUAACACAUGCAAGUCGAACGGAAAGGCCCUGCUUUUGUGGGGUGCUCGAGUGGCGAACGGGUGAGUAACACGUGAGUAACCUGCCCUUGACUUUGGGAUAACUUCAGGAAGCUGGGGCUAAUACCGGAUAGGAGCUCCUGCUGCAUGGUGGGGGUUGGAAAGUUUCGGCGGUUGGGGAUGGACUCGCGGCUUAUCAGCUUGUUGGUGGGGUAGUGGCUUACCAAGGCUUUGACGGGUAGCCGGCCUGAGAGGGUGAAAGGCCACAAUGGGACUGAGAUACGGCCCAGACUCCUACGGGAGGCAGCAGGGGGGAAUAUUGCACAAUGGGCGGAAGCCUGAUGCAGCAACGCCGCGUGCGGGAUGACGGCCUUCGGGUUGUGAACCGCUUUCGCCUGUGACGAAGCGGGAGUGACGGUAAUGGGUAAAGAAGCACCGGCUAACUACGUG